CAGUAGCCGCGGGAAUACGUAGGUGGCAAGCGUUGUCCGGAAUUAUUGGGCGUAAAGCGCGCGCAGGCGGUUUAAUAAGUCUGAUGUGAAAGCCCACGGCUCAACCGUGGAGGGUCAUUGGAAACUGUUAAACUUGAGUGCAGGAGAGAAAAGUGGAAUUCCUAGUGUAGCGGUGAAAUGCGUAGAGAUUAGGAGGAACACCAGUGGCGAAGGCGGCUUUUUGGCCUGUAACUGACACUGAGGCGCGAAAGCGUGGGGGGCAAACAGGAUUAGAUACCCGAGUAGUCCCUGUCUCUUAUAC
RNAcentral lists this ribosomal RNA (301 nucleotides) under uncultured bacterium. Its description in RNAcentral is "partial 16S ribosomal RNA". It matches the Rfam family "Bacterial small subunit ribosomal RNA", at positions 509 to 807 of the family's 1533-position model. The record is from RNAcentral.